UACAGAGGGUGCAAGCGUUAAUCGGAAUUACUGGGCGUAAAGCGUGCGUAGUCGGUUAUCUAAGUCGGGUGUGAAGUCCCCGGGCUCAACCUGGGAAUUGCAUUCGAUACUGGAUAGCUAGAGUUCGGCAGAGGGAAGCGGAAUUUCGGGUGUAGCGGUGAAAUGCGUAGAUAUCCGAAGGAACAUCAGUGGCGAAAGCGGCUUCCUGGACCAGAACUGACGAUCAGGCACGAAAGCGUGGGGAGCAAACAGG
This 253-nucleotide ribosomal RNA is filed under the name uncultured bacterium. RNAcentral's name for it is "partial 16S ribosomal RNA". It matches the Rfam family "Bacterial small subunit ribosomal RNA", at positions 524 to 776 of the family's 1533-position model. The record is from RNAcentral.